Molecule: ribosomal RNA, 608 nt
Filed under: Protomerulius substuppeus
Lineage: Eukaryota; Fungi; Basidiomycota; Agaricomycetes; Auriculariales; Hyaloriaceae
Description: eukaryotic LSU rRNA
Rfam family: Eukaryotic large subunit ribosomal RNA
Source: RNAcentral
UAACAGGAUUCCCCUAGUAACGGCGAGUGAAGCGGGAUCAGCUCAAAUUUGAAAUCUGGCGGUCUACGGCCGUCCGAGUUGUAGUCUAGAGAGGUGUCUUCCGCGCCGGACCGUGUACAAGUCCCUUGGGAUAGGGCGUCAUAGAGGGUGAGAACCCCGUCCAUGACACGGACCCCCGGUGCUCUGUGAUGCGCCUUCGAAGAGUCGAGUUGUUUGGGAAUGCAGCUCAAAAUGGGUGGUAAAUUCCAUCUAAAGCUAAAUACCGGCGGGAGACCGAUAGCGAACAAGUACCGUGAGGGAAAGAUGAAAAGCACUUUGGAAAGAGAGUUAAACAGUACGUGAAAUUGUUGAAAGGGAAACGCUUGGAGUCAGUCGCGUCCGUCGGGAUUCAGCCGGGCUUUUGUCCGGCGCAUUUCUCGGUGGAUGGGCCAGCAUCGAUUUUGGCUGCCGGAAAAGGGCCAGAGGAAUGUGGCACCCUCGGGUGUGUUAUAGCCUCUGGUCGCACACGGUGGCCGGGAUCGAGGACAGCAGCGCGCCUCAGCGGCCGGGGUUCGCCCACGCACGCGCUUAGGAUGCUGGCGUAAUGGCUUUAAACGACCCGUCUUGAA